GACGAACGCUGGCGGCGUGCUUAACACAUGCAAGUCGAACGGAAAGGCCCUGCUUUUGUGGGGUGCUCGAGUGGCGAACGGGUGAGUAACACGUGAGUAACCUGCCCUUGACUUUGGGAUAACUUCAGGAAACUGGGGCUAAUACCGGAUAGGAGCUCCUGCUGCAUGGUGGGGGUUGGAAAGUUUCGGCGGUUGGGGAUGGACUCGCGGCUUAUCAGCUUGUUGGUGGGGUAGUGGCUUACCAAGGCUUUGACGGGUAGCCGGCCUGAGAGGGUGACCGGCCACAUUGGGACUGAGGUACGGCCCAGACUCGUACGGGAGGCAGAAGUGGGGAAUAUUGCACAAUGGGCGGAAGCCUGAUGCAGCAACGCCGCGUGCGGGAUGACGGCCUUCGGGUUGUAAACCGCUUUCGCCUGUGACGAAGCGUGAGUGACGGUAAUGGGUAAAGAAGCACCGGCUAACUACGUG
RNAcentral lists this ribosomal RNA (468 nucleotides) under uncultured bacterium. RNAcentral describes it as "partial 16S ribosomal RNA". It matches the Rfam family "Bacterial small subunit ribosomal RNA", at positions 28 to 507 of the family's 1533-position model. The record is from RNAcentral.